AAGGCUUUGCAGUCAUACAACAGAGAAUUGCUCGUUAUAAAGCAUGUAGCAACGUUUCAAAAGGCCAAACGCUCCACUCGUGCUGUGCUUUGGGUUUUUAUUAACUUGUUCUUCCUUAUUUAUGCUGCGUAGAGGAAUGAGAGAGGAAGACGUUGGCCUCUGGUGCCUACUGUCACAGCCUCUGGUCUUGCUGUGCUCUUGUGAUGGAUUCCCUGCUUCCUGCACUCCUGAGCCGCAGGUGCCACAUCAGAUAGUAGCUCAGAGCAACGUCCCAGCUCUCUGCUCUUCUCAGCACACCUCCGAGGAUCGCGGGCAGCCAGGGAUUAUGUGGAAGCGGAGGAGGAAAACGAGGAGGAAAAGAAGCAAGAGGAGGAGCUUUAGGCUUAAGAGCGAGGCGGUUCGCGGCAGCGUUUUGCUGGGAGUGUUGCGCUCCUCCCUCGGCCAUCCCCGGACAGUGUCGCCGACGGGGGAGCAAUGUCUGGCGACCGCGGGCUAAGCGCGACGGGCGGAGACUCGACAAGAUGGCGGCAGCUGUGCAGAGAGGUGAAGCCUGCUGAGGGUGCAUCAAGGGAUAAUUGGGGAUUUAUCAUAACAGUAAACUGGAACUAAGCUUCAACCUUUUGUGUGGAAAUGUUCCUUAAAAGAAGAAGCUGCAAUACUGAAAGUAGUGCUUGAUGACAUGAGACCAUGCCUCUCAUAGAAGUCAAAUAAAUUAAAAACGUUAUGAAAUGCGAA
Long non-coding RNA from Pogoniulus pusillus (Red-fronted tinkerbird), 735 nucleotides. RefSeq lists it as uncharacterized. The transcript has 2 exons. The record is from RefSeq and is a predicted model, not a curated record. NCBI's taxonomy places the organism in Eukaryota, Metazoa, Chordata, Aves, Piciformes, Lybiidae.